Molecule: long non-coding RNA, 141 nt
Organism: Cotesia glomerata
Lineage: Eukaryota; Metazoa; Arthropoda; Insecta; Hymenoptera; Braconidae
Exons: 2
Source: RefSeq, a predicted model, not a curated record
AAAAUUAUUAAUUUCAUCAAUGAUUGCUUACAGAUGUCUCAUCCUCGAGAUCAUUAUCAAAAGCUUUUGUUAUUAUCUUUAGUUUUUCUUGGUAGUUGUCCAACCUAUACGUACACUUUCAAGCGUCCUGGUGCUAAAUUU